ACCAGUGACAGGUCUGCAUGCUGUCGUCAGCUCGUGUCGUGAGAUGUUGGUUAAGUCCGUACGACGCACCCUUGGCCCUUAUUUGCCAGCACGUAAUGGUGGAACUCUAAGGAGACUGCCGGUGACAAACCGGAGGAAGGUGGGGACGACGUCAAGUCAUCAUGGCCCUUAUGACCAGGGCUACACACGUGCUACAAUGGGGCGUACAGAGGGUUGCUAAGCCGCGAGGUGGAGCCAAUCCCAGAAAACGUUUCGUAGUCCGGAUCGAAGUCUGCAACUCUACUUCGUGAAGUCGGAAUCGCUAGUAAUCGCGAAUCAGCAUGUCGCGGUGAAUACGUUCCCGGGCCUU
RNAcentral lists this ribosomal RNA (349 nucleotides) under uncultured marine bacterium. RNAcentral's name for it is "bacterial SSU rRNA". It matches the Rfam family "Bacterial small subunit ribosomal RNA", at positions 1027 to 1382 of the family's 1533-position model. The record is from RNAcentral.